CUUUUGAAGUCCCACGGCCUUCUUCUCUCCCCAAUCUCCUUUUCCGGCGAGCCAACAGAGGCUGCACGCUAAAUCUCCGCCGUGGCCCCAAAUCUCCACCUCACUGCUGGCGCCGCUGCUCCAUAGCCUCACGCCGGUUCCCUGCCUCGACCCCAAAGCCUCUCACUGCCACAAAUCCUAGGUCCCGCCGUCCCUCCCCAAAGCAUGCCGACGCCAUCUCCCUGAACCAUAUUGUCUUCUUAUCUUCUAUCCCCAAGCCACCGAGCAAAACCCCCAAAUCACACCACCAUGUGCGUGAUCCCUCUGCCACCAGCCCCUCAAAAUUGCGCCAACCAUCGAUCUCCUCCGGUUGAUGGUGGUCCCGACGCCGCCAUGAGCCCUGCCUGACGCUGGAUACCGUCGCCGCCGCCGCUGCCGGACACCAUCGCUACUCCCUCCUGCCGGACGCCGUCGUUGCCAUAGCCAGAUGCAGACGGCUCUUCCCACUCGACCAAUCCUCUUGCGCAUGAGAUUUGCUAAGUGCAAGGAAGAAUUUGUCUCCGAGGAAGUUGGUGGGAUCGAUGGUGGUGAAGAACAGAUGGCUUGCCUUCUUCCUCAGUCAGUUCAUGGAUACUUGCAAGCCGUCAUACAAGUGCAUGACUCGGUGAUUAAAUUCUCAUAUGCAGUCCUCGUUUCUUCUUGAGAUAUACUAGUUUCUUGAUUAGUUGAAUCCAAUGUGUAGAUCUGGAAGUGAAGAACCAAUCAACCAAGAGCCAUCAAGGAGCAGAUCAAGCCAGUUGCUGAAGAAAAAUUGGAUUCUUGGAUUGAUUAGGCUAUUGUCGUUAUAUAAGUCUCUGCAAUAUGUUCUGUUUUCUGUGGACUUUAAAGAAUGUUUGUAGUUCAGUGGCCGUUGUGAGCUGGGAAAUAAUCUGACAUUUUUUUUCAUUUGUUCUUGUACGUACAAGGUGCAUAUAUUCACUUAACUAUGAAAGUGUGGACUUAUUUCUA
This is a long non-coding RNA of Phragmites australis (common reed), 987 nucleotides long. RefSeq lists it as uncharacterized. NCBI's taxonomy places the organism in Eukaryota, Viridiplantae, Streptophyta, Magnoliopsida, Poales, Poaceae. The record is from RefSeq and is a predicted model, not a curated record. The transcript has 2 exons.